This 306-nucleotide ribosomal RNA is filed under the name uncultured bacterium. Its description in RNAcentral is "bacterial SSU rRNA". It matches the Rfam family "Bacterial small subunit ribosomal RNA", at positions 24 to 360 of the family's 1533-position model. The record is from RNAcentral.
UCAGAAUGAACGCUGGCGGCAGGCCUAACACAUGCAAGUCGAGCGCCUCGCAAGAGGAGCGGCGGACGGGUGAGUAACGCGUGGGAACGUACCCUUUGCUACGGAAUAGCCUCGGGAAACUGAGAGUAAUACCGUAUAAGCCCUACGGGGGAAAGAUUUAUCGGCAAAGGAUCGGCCCGCGUUGGAUUAGGUAGUUGGUGGGGUAAUGGCCUACCAAGCCGACGAUCCAUAGCUGGUUUGAGAGGAUGAUCAGCCACACUGGGACUGAGACACGGCCCAGACUCCUACGGGAGGCAGCAGUGGGGA